Molecule: ribosomal RNA, 376 nt
Filed under: uncultured bacterium
Lineage: Bacteria
Description: bacterial SSU rRNA
Rfam family: Bacterial small subunit ribosomal RNA
Source: RNAcentral
UAAUACAGAGAGUGCAAACGUUGUUCGGAAUCACUGGGCAUAAAGCGCACGUAGGCGGCGCCAUAAGUGCGGGUUGAAAUCCCACGGCUUACCCGUGGAACUGGCUUGUAGACUGUGGUGCUCGAGGAUGGUAGGGGAGAGCGGAACUCCUGGUGGAGCGGUGAAAUGCGUAGAGAUCAGGAGGAACACCGGUGGCGAAGGCGGCUCUCUGGUCCAUUACUGACGCUGAGGUGCGAAAGCUAGGGGAGCAAACGGGAUUAGAUACCCCGGUAGUCCUAGCUGUAAACGAUGGGUACUAGCUUGGGGUUUCCCUGUGUGAUCCCAGGUGAAGCAAAUGUGAUAAGUACCCCGCCUGGGGAGUAUGGUCGCAAGGCUG